RNAcentral lists this long non-coding RNA (856 nucleotides) under Pongo abelii (Sumatran orangutan). Its description in RNAcentral is "lincRNA". Lineage: Eukaryota; Metazoa; Chordata; Mammalia; Primates; Hominidae. The record is from RNAcentral.
GAGGUCCUUCAUCCCAUUCUUGGGGGAGGCACUCAUGGCCUAACCACCUCCUAAAGAACCCACUAUUGUCUGUAAUACCAUCAUAUUACAGGUACUGUUAACUAUUAGUACCUGAAUUUUGGAGGGAACACAUUCAAACUAUAGCACCUAUUUAGGCUAAAAAGAUAGUUCAUUGUUAGUGUAUGAAAAAACUACUGAUUUUUUAUGUUGAUUUUAUAUACUGCAACUUUAUUGAAUUCUCAAUAAAUGGUGUUGAAAAAACUGGAUGUCCUCAUGAAGAAGAAUGAAAUUGAACACAUCACAUCCCAUAUACAAGAAUCAACUCAAAAUGGGUUGAAGACUUAAAUAUAAGAUCUGAAACUAUAAAACUAGAAAUAAAAAAUGUAAGAGAAAAGCUCCACACACUGAUCUGGACAAAGAUUUUUUUGACUAUGACCCUAAAAGCACAGACAACAAAAACAAAAAGAGACCAUUAAUCUAUUAGUUAUUGUAUUGCAUCAAACUAAAAAGCUUAAGCACAGCAAAGGAAACAAUUUACAAAAUAAAGAGACAACCCAUAGGUUAAGAGAAAAAUAUUUGCAAACAAUACAUCUGUUAAGGGGCUCUAAUAUCCAAAAUAUAGAGAGAAAUUAAACAACUCAAUAAUGAGAAAACAAGUAAUUACAUUAAAAAUAGGCAAAUGACUUAAAUAGAUAUUUCUCAAAAGAAGACACAUAAAUGGCCAGUGGGUUAUUAAUAACAAAGCCCAAUAUCCCUAUCACUAAUCAUUGGGGAAAUGCAAAUUGAAACCACAAUUAUAUAUCACCUCAGAUCUGUCAGAAUGGCUAUUAUCAAAAAGAUGAAAUUUAAAUGUUGG